UUGGUAGGUAAACGGCUUACCAAGGCGAUGAUGCAUAGCCGAGUUGAGAGACUGAUCGGCCACAUUGGGACUGAGACACGGCCCAAACUCCUACGGGAGGCAGCAGUAGGGAAUCUUCCACAAUGGACGCAAGUCUGAUGGAGCAACGCCGCGUGAGUGAAGAAGGGUUUCGGCUCGUAAAGCUCUGUUGUUGGUGAAGAAGGACGGGGGUAGUAACUGACCUUUGUUUGACGGUAAUCAAUUAGAAAGUCACGGCUAACUACGUGCCAGCAGCCGCGGUAAAU
RNAcentral lists this ribosomal RNA (284 nucleotides) under uncultured Lactobacillus sp. RNAcentral's name for it is "partial 16S ribosomal RNA". It matches the Rfam family "Bacterial small subunit ribosomal RNA", at positions 249 to 525 of the family's 1533-position model. Lineage: Bacteria; Bacillati; Bacillota; Bacilli; Lactobacillales; Lactobacillaceae. The record is from RNAcentral.